Molecule: long non-coding RNA, 664 nt
Filed under: Calidris pugnax (ruff)
Lineage: Eukaryota; Metazoa; Chordata; Aves; Charadriiformes; Scolopacidae
Description: lncRNA (ENSCPUG00000008231.1)
Source: RNAcentral
GUUCAUUGUGAUGAUGGAAAAGCAAGCAACUGCUAAAUCGUCUACCAUUUUCAUCUCGGAUGCUGUUAAAGGGCGUAGGAAGGCAAGGGAUGGAACAUUCCAAGGUGCAAAAUGGAAUGCUUCUUUAGCAUCUAAAAUCAAAAGUAAAUUAAUAAAAUAAAACUCUUAUAGAAAUAGAAGCGUUUUUAAAUUAUAACCUUUUAACUGCAAUAGAAAUAAGCAGUCUUUCUGAGAAUCUUCAGAGUUCUCUUCCUCUGUCAGCGGGUUCAAGUAGCGCUGUUGGUGACCAGUUCAAGGGCAGAAGGCAGUCUGCUAGAAAAUCAAGUAUGCACAGAACUAACUUGCAAUAGUGCCUUCCCGACUCAUGUCAAAAAUGCACAAUCUUUCAGGCGGUCUGAGGAGCUUACAAAACAAUAUAAUGAUAGUUCAUUGCCAUUCUGUGGAAAUGUGACUGAAAGAAAGAAACAUGCAGCAUUUUGUCAGUCAAAAACUCAACCUAAUGUAAAGGAUUCUGAUAAAAAAGGUAGCUCAGAUAAUCUGCCUUAUGGUAUCAACAGCGGCAGCACCACCAAUGAUGUGAAUUUGCGGCAAAGUUCAAGUGACUUGUCUCACAUUAGUCCUUCACCUCUUAAAUUUAGCAAUGAAAGCAAGAGAGAUUUAAAGC